AGGUGGAGGCUCGUCUCAACCGCUCUACUUCCUCCUGAACACCCUCAAGCUCAUCCGCGGCCGACAGGGGCACCCUCUUGACCGCCACCGGGUGCUUACAUCUCUUGGCACCACCAGCACCAGGCCGGCCAGCACGGGACAGCGUGGCGACACAGACCUCCUGGCCGGCGGGGCCAGGCGGGCCGCUCCCGAUGCGGCGGGCUAGCUAGAGGUCCGGGUGCGAGGCGAGGUCCAGGGAGGUGCAGGGUGGCAGGGCGGCAGCGGGCGCAGGGGUGCGCUUGGGGCGGGCGAAGAAGUCGUCCUCAUCGUCGUCGGAGGAGCCGGAGUCGGAGUGCAGGAAGGAUGGGGAAGAGGGGGAGUCGGAGAGGAGCGAGAGGAUGGGGAAGUUCUUGCGGAGCGCAGAG
This 404-nucleotide long non-coding RNA is filed under the name Hordeum vulgare. Its description in RNAcentral is "long non-coding RNA (HVUL_LNC004915)". The record is from RNAcentral. Lineage: Eukaryota; Viridiplantae; Streptophyta; Magnoliopsida; Poales; Poaceae.